Molecule: long non-coding RNA, 886 nt
Organism: Rhineura floridana
Lineage: Eukaryota; Metazoa; Chordata; Lepidosauria; Squamata; Rhineuridae
Exons: 3
Source: RefSeq, a predicted model, not a curated record
AAUACUUGUCUCCCUACUUAAAAGAAGCUGGCCCAGGAAAGUGGAAACCAAAGAGCUGCCCAUUGCCGAUAUUUUUCUUCACUUAUCCCAGAUUCACAAGGUGGAAAUAAGGUACAGAUUAAGAGCACUCUAUGAAGAGCCUGCUCCAUGAGCUAGAGGGAGCCCCAGCUGACAAAGUGUCAAGGCCCCAGCUGACAAAGCGUCAAGGCGAGUUAAGCAGCAGAGCGAAAAGAGGGUGGAUUCUUUCAGAAGAGGAGAGCAUUUUGGAAAGGGUACUUAACCUUCUGCCUCACUCCUCCGAGCUGUGAACAAAGAAAACAUCUUGAGUCAUUGCAGCAAGGAGAGGUUUAGGCAAGAGUCAGGCUGCAGGCCAGAUGUGUUGUGGAUCACCUGAAUGAAGCUCAUCACAGUUUGGGAACCCCUGGAAAGUGGAAAAGCCCAGGGGGACAUGGUGGAGGAGAGAAAUAGCCGAGCGUUCCUGGCACUUGACUCAAAAGCAAACAACGAAAUCCACAACAGGCUAUAUAUAGUUUUUGUUAGCUUUUCCUCUCUGGUCAAUAGGGGUUGGAGGUGUCAUAGUUUAUUUGAGCAGAGGACAAAAUGUGCCAGGCCAAACUGUCACCCCUUACCCGAAGGAGUCUGCCAUCCAGACCCAUUUCCACAGGCUCCACGUUUUUACACCAGCUUGUCUUAGUGGAUGAUGUGUGAGGAAGUAUAAUUUUCUACAAUGUAUGUCAUAUGUUUUCAUACUAUAGGGACAGGUGUGUUAUGGGAUAUACUGUCAUUGUCACAUCCCCACUAAGAGCUGACCAGAGUGGUUGAGUGUCCAUCAGUGUGGAAGCAAAACGGGGCACAUCAGUGCAGUUUCUACGCUCUGAAGAUACAU